RNAcentral lists this ribosomal RNA (543 nucleotides) under Triticum aestivum (bread wheat). RNAcentral describes it as "partial small subunit ribosomal RNA". The record is from RNAcentral. Lineage: Eukaryota; Viridiplantae; Streptophyta; Magnoliopsida; Poales; Poaceae.
AAAAUCCCCAAACCUUUCUUCUUCUUCCUCUGCUCGGAUUUCAUUCCAGUUCACCAGACCAAACCCUACCCUGCUUCCCCAAUCCCCAAUCCCCAAUCCAUGGAGGAGGAAGCCCCCAUGAGGCGUAGUAGAUCCGUCGGAUCCGGCGACCAGCAGGCACCACCGGGGGCGGGGGGCGGCAGGGAGGAGCAUGGAGGCCUCGACGUCGACGACCUCAUCAGCCGCCUUCCCGACGAGGUGCUCGGCACCGUCGUCUCGCUCCUCCCCACCAAGGACGGCGCGCGCACGCAGGCCCUCUCCCGCCGCUGGCGUCCCCUAUGGCUCUCGCCCAACGCGCCGCUCCACCUCGGUGAUGACGUCGACAUCCUCGACCUCCCGAUCCCCAGGAUCCUCUCCGACCACCCAGGCCCGGCCCGGCGCGUCUCGCUCUACCGCAGGUUCCUCCCCGACGAGAUCGACGGCUGGUUCCGCUCCGGGUCCCUCUCCGGCCUCCAGCACCUCGAGGUCGACAAUCUGGAAUGGGACCACCAACUGCCGCUGCCG